This 581-nucleotide long non-coding RNA is filed under the name Equus asinus (donkey). RNAcentral's name for it is "lncRNA (ENSEASG00005024170.1)". The record is from RNAcentral. Lineage: Eukaryota; Metazoa; Chordata; Mammalia; Perissodactyla; Equidae.
UUUAAUUGCUGUGGAUAACCAUCGAUCAUUGCUGGGCUGCCCCUGGGACGGUGGACUUUGAGAGAGGAGAAAACAAGCCCAGGCAGAGCAUCCUGCCCCUGGUCAUUGAUGGUAGAGGUGGUUCAGAGGAACACAUGCUGGUCCAAGAAACAAGUAAUUAGUUGUCAUACAAAUCCCAACAGAAGAACAUGAUGAACAAUUUGGGAGCAUAAGUUCCACUGUUAGUACAAAAGACAAAAGAAUGCACAGAAGAAACAAAAACCUGCAUGUGUUUGGAAAUACCAUUGAAAUGCUGAGAACAUCACUUCUAGGCACCUGUAGAAUUGUGGUUCUUGCUUUCCCUGUUGUUGGGUGGAGCCGUGCAACUGGUUCUCUCCAUUGAGUUGGGAGUGAAAGUGACAUAUAGCUUGUCACCUGGGCCCACGACUGAGCACUGUGGGUCAGGAUACUUGUUCCUCCCAUUGAUUUUUCACUGAGUUGGAAGUGACAUGGAGCCCCUCAACCUGAGUUUCUGAGGAGGACCAUGGAGACAUGGAGUAAAAGUCUCAGCUGACGCUUGUUGGAUCUGUAGGGUAAAAAGA